Molecule: ribosomal RNA, 249 nt
Filed under: uncultured bacterium
Lineage: Bacteria
Description: partial 16S ribosomal RNA
Rfam family: Bacterial small subunit ribosomal RNA
Source: RNAcentral
GACAGAGGAUGCAAGCGUUAUCCGGAAUGAUUGGGCGUAAAGCGUCUGUAGGUGGCUUUUUAAGUCCGCCGUCAAUCCCAGGCUCAACCCUGGACAGGCGGUGGAACUACCAAGCUGGAGUACGGUAGGGCAGAGGGAAUUUCCGGUGGAGCGGUGAAAUGCGUAGAGAUCGGAAAGAACACCAACGGCGAAAGCACUCUGCUGGGCCGACACUGACACUGAGAGACGAAAGCUAGGGGAGCGAAUGGG